CCAGCUCCUACCUCCCGGCAGCCUCUCCAGGCCCAGAACUUUCUCCAAUCAGCCUCUACAGACCAAGCUCAUGACUCACAAUGGCCUAUUUAGGCCCAUACCCUACGUCACGGCAGUCUCCGCAGAUGAGCCUACUGCCCCACAACAGCCUCCACAGGCACAGCUCCAUCGUUACAAUGGCCUCUUUAGACCCAGCUCCUGCCUCCCAGCCUUCUCUCCAGGCCCUGAACUUUCUCAAGUCGACCUCACCAGGCCCAGCUCAUGCUUCUUUGCAGCCUCUCCAGGCCCAGCUCCUGCAUCUUGGUGGCCCCUCCAGGCCCAGCCUCUGCCUCCCGUCGGCCUCUACAGUCCCAACAUCUGCCUCACAGCAGAUUCUUCACGCCCAGCAUCUGCCUCACUGUGGACCCCCCAAGCCAAGCUCCCAACCUUUCAGCAGCUUCUACACACCCAGCUCCUGCCACCCAGUGGCCUCUUUAGGCCAAGCUCAUGCUUCACAAGGGCCUUUCCAGGCCCAACUUUUGUCUCAUGGCAACCUUCCCUGGCCAGAUUCCUGCCUGUCUCCCAGCAGCCUAGACAGGCCCAGGGCCUCUCUACAUGCAGCUUAUGCCUCACGGUGGCCUCUCCAGGCCCAACUCCUGUCCCAGGACGUCAUCUCCGGGCCCAAAACUUACUCAAGUCAGACUCUGUAGUCCCAACUGCUGCCUCCUGGUGGCCUAUGAAGGCCCAAAAUCUCCUCAAGUUGACCUUUCCAGGCCCAGCUCCUGCCUCCUGUCAGCGUCUACAGGCCCAACCUCUACGUCAUGGGGGCUUCUCCAGGCCCACCUCUUCCUCUUGGCUGGGUCUACAGGCACAACUGCUGCCUCACAACAGCCUUUUUUGGCCCAGUUCCUGUCCAGCUCAUGGCGGCCAAUGUAGGCCCAAAACUUCCUCAAGUCAAACUCUCCAGGCCCACCUUCUGCUUCCCAGUGGCAUGAACAGGCCCAGCUUUGACUUGAGAACAGCCUCUGCAGGCCCUGCUCUUGCCUCCCAGGGGCUUUUUCCAGGCCCAGCUCUUGCCUCAUGGCAGCUGCCCCAGGCCAAAUUUCUGCCUGCCUGCCAGCAGCCUCAACAGGCAUAGCUCCUCCCUCACAGUGGCCCAUUUAGGCCCAAC
This 1150-nucleotide long non-coding RNA is filed under the name Homo sapiens (human). RNAcentral's name for it is "non-protein coding LINC01000:10". Lineage: Eukaryota; Metazoa; Chordata; Mammalia; Primates; Hominidae. The record is from RNAcentral.